UAAUAAUCACUAUAUUUCUAAGGCAAUUUCAACACAAUCAAAAUUCAAAACAUUUACUUGUCAGGUUUAAGCUUAGAACAUGUACCUGUUCCCUUGUGGUUGAUUUCGAGGGGAGUAAUAAUAUUACCUUACAAUUGUACAUGCUUUGGUUCCUAUUGUAGGCAAAGAGGACAAAUCCCCACAUUUUGACGUCAACCAAAAUAGAGAGAAAAUAAAACCAACACCAUCGGAGUGUGUUAAAUGCAAAACUGGAGGCCAUCAACCUCAACCUUAUUGUCAUUGUCCUAACCAUAUCCAGCCAUAAUUCCUUAGAUUGUUGUCGCGGAUGGCUGGAAACUAUUUAACCGGAGGCAUGUAAUCACUGAACUAAGGAAUUAUCCGCAUACAUUGCGCAACUCCCCCAGAAUACAACCGGUUCUUCUCGGUGAUAAACAUACCGAGGCUAUCAAGACACGAGAAUAUUAACAAGGUUGGUAACUCAGGCACUU
Molecule: long non-coding RNA, 488 nt
Filed under: Trifolium pratense (red clover)
Lineage: Eukaryota; Viridiplantae; Streptophyta; Magnoliopsida; Fabales; Fabaceae
Description: long non-coding RNA (TPRA_LNC001331)
Source: RNAcentral